RNAcentral lists this ribosomal RNA (514 nucleotides) under uncultured Actinomycetes bacterium. RNAcentral describes it as "bacterial SSU rRNA". It matches the Rfam family "Bacterial small subunit ribosomal RNA", at positions 67 to 596 of the family's 1533-position model. Lineage: Bacteria; Bacillati; Actinomycetota; Actinomycetes. The record is from RNAcentral.
CGGAAAGGCCCCUUUGGGGGUACUCGAGUGGCGAACGGGUGAGUAACACGUGAGUAACCUGCCCUUGACUUCGGGAUAACUUCAGGAAACUGGGGCUAAUACCGGAUAGGAAUCCUUGCUGCAUGGUGGGGGUUGGAAAGCUUCGGCGGUUUUGGAUGGACUCGCGGCUUAUCAGCUUGUUGGUGGGGUAGUGGCUUACCAAGGCUUUGACGGGUAGCCGGCCUGAGAGGGCGACCGGCCACAUUGGGACUGAGAUACGGCCCAGACUCCUACGGGAGGCAGCAGUGGGGAAUAUUGCACAAUGGGCGGAAGCCUGAUGCAGCAACGCCGCGUGCGGGAUGACGGCCUUCGGGUUGUAAACCGCUUUCAGCAGGGGCGAAGCUUUUGUGACGGUACCUGCAGAAGAAGCACCGGCUAACUACGUGCCAGCAGCCGCGGUGAUACGUAGGGUGCGAGCGUUGUCCGGAUUUAUUGGGCGUAAAGAGCUCGUAGGUGGUUGAUUGCGUCGGAAGUG